This 128-nucleotide transfer RNA is filed under the name Candidatus Woesearchaeota archaeon. RNAcentral's name for it is "tRNA-Ser". It matches the Rfam family "tRNA". From Rfam's summary of the family: Transfer RNA (tRNA) molecules are approximately 80 nucleotides in length. Their secondary structure includes four short double-helical elements and three loops (D, anti-codon, and T loops). Lineage: Archaea; Nanobdellati; Candidatus Woesearchaeota. The record is from RNAcentral.
GCCGGGGUCGCAUAAUCUGGUAUUGCGCGGGGCUUGAGACCCCGUUUCCUUCGGGAUAUCUUGAAGGCUGGCUUCAAGAAGUCGGUCCUUUUGGACUCGAAAUGUCGGUUCAAAUCCGGCCCCCGGCG